UACGGGGGGGGCAAGCGUUGUUCGGAAUUACUGGGCGUAAAGCGUGCGCAGGCGGUUUUGCAAGCCGGAUGUGAAAUCCCCGGGCUCAACCUGGGAACUGCAUCUGUGACUGCAUCGCUGGAGUGCGGCAGAGGGGGAUGGAAUUCCGCGUGUAGCAGUGAAAUGCGUAGAUAUGCGGAGGAACACCGAUGGCGAAGGCAAUCCCCUGGGCCUGCACUGACGCUCAUGCACGAAAGCGUGGGGAGCAAACAGG
Molecule: ribosomal RNA, 253 nt
Filed under: uncultured bacterium
Lineage: Bacteria
Description: partial 16S ribosomal RNA
Rfam family: Bacterial small subunit ribosomal RNA
Source: RNAcentral